Molecule: ribosomal RNA, 472 nt
Filed under: uncultured bacterium
Lineage: Bacteria
Description: bacterial SSU rRNA
Rfam family: Bacterial small subunit ribosomal RNA
Source: RNAcentral
UGGGGAAUAUUGGACAAUGGGGGCAACCCUGAUCCAGCGAUGCCGCGUGUGUGAAGAAGGCCUGAGGGUUGUAAAGCACUUUAGAUGUUGAAGAAGUUGUUGGGUUGAAUAUACCAAACAAUUGACGGUAAACAGCGAAUAAGCACCGGCUAACUCUGUGCCAGCAGCCGCGGUAAUACAGAGGGUGCAAGCGUUAAUCGGAAUGACUGGGCGUAAAGGGCGCGUAGGUGGAUGCAUGAGUAAAUUGUGAAAGGCCCGGGCUUAACCUGGGCAGGUCAAUUUAAACGGUGCGUCUAGAGUGGAGUAGAGGGAAGUAGAAUUUCCGGUGUAGCGGUGAAAUGCGUAGAUAUCGGAAGGAAUACCGGUGGCGAAGGCGUCUUCCUGGACUCUAACUGACACUGAGGCGCGAAAGCAUGGGGAUCAAACAGGAUUAGAUACCCAAGUAGUCCCUGAGCGGGCUGGCAAGGCGCAU